Non-coding RNA from Gymnothorax javanicus (giant moray), 72 nucleotides. The record is from the annotation of a GenBank genome assembly. Lineage: Eukaryota; Metazoa; Chordata; Actinopteri; Anguilliformes; Muraenidae.
GACCGGUGGCUCAUUGGGAUAAUGCGCGCGCCAUGAUCGCAGCGACCCGGGUUCGAUUCCCGGCCCUGGUCA